RNAcentral lists this ribosomal RNA (253 nucleotides) under uncultured bacterium. Its description in RNAcentral is "partial 16S ribosomal RNA". It matches the Rfam family "Bacterial small subunit ribosomal RNA", at positions 524 to 776 of the family's 1533-position model. The record is from RNAcentral.
UACGUAGGCAGCAAGCGUUGUUCGGAGUUACUGGGCGUAAAGGGUGCGUAGGUGGCUCUAUAAGUAUGGUGUGAAAUCUCCCGGCUUAACUGGGAGGGUGCGCCGUAGACUGUGGGGCUAGAGUGUGGGAGAGGAAAGUGGAAUUCCUGGUGUAGCGGUGAAAUGCGUAGAUAUCGGGAGGAACACCUGUGGCGAAAGCGGCGCACUGGACCACAACUGACGCUGAGGCGCGAAAGCGUGGGGAGCAAACAGG